RNAcentral lists this ribosomal RNA (390 nucleotides) under uncultured Lachnospiraceae bacterium. RNAcentral describes it as "bacterial SSU rRNA". It matches the Rfam family "Bacterial small subunit ribosomal RNA", at positions 355 to 762 of the family's 1533-position model. The record is from RNAcentral. Lineage: Bacteria; Bacillati; Bacillota; Clostridia; Lachnospirales; Lachnospiraceae.
UGGGGAAUAUUGCACAAUGGGGGAAACCCUGAUGCAGCGACGCCGCGUGAGCGAAGAAGUAUUUCGGUAUGUAAAGCUCUAUCAGCAGGGAAGAAAAUGACGGUACCUGACUAAGAAGCACCGGCUAAAUACGUGCCAGCAGCCGCGGUAAUACGUAUGGUGCAAGCGUUAUCCGGAUUUACUGGGUGUAAAGGGAGCGUAGACGGCUGUGUAAGUCUGAAGUGAAAGCCCGGGGCUCAACCCCGGGACUGCUUUGGAAACUGUAGGACUAGAGUGCAGGAGAGGUAAGUGGAAUUCCUAGUGUAGCGGUGAAAUGCGUAGAUAUUAGGAGGAACACCAGUGGCGAAGGCGGCUUACUGGACUGUAACUGACGUUGAGGCUCGAAAGCGU